GAUGAACGCUAGCGGCAGGCCUAACACAUGCAAGUCGAGGGGUAGUAUAGCAAUAUAUGAGACCGGCGCACGGGUGCGUAACGCGUAUGCAACCUACCUUUUACAGGGGGAUAGCCCAGAGAAAUUUGGAUUAAUACCCCAUGGUGUAUUUGAGUGGCAUCACUUGAUUACUAAAGUUCCAACGGUAAAAGAUGGGCAUGCGUCCUAUUAGCUGGAUGGUAAGGUAACGGCUUACCAUGGCUACGAUAGGUAGGGGUCCUGAGAGGGAGAUCCCCCACACUGGUACUGAGACACGGACCAGACUCCUACGGGAGGCAGCAGUGAGGAAUAUUGGACAAUGGGCGCAAGCCUGAUCCAGCCAUGCCGCGUGCAGGAAGACGCAUCUAUGGUGUGUAAACUGCUUUUGUACGGGAAGAAACACUCCUACGUGUAGGAGCUUGACGGUACCGUAAGAAUAAGGAUCGGCUAAC
Molecule: ribosomal RNA, 470 nt
Filed under: uncultured Flavobacterium sp.
Lineage: Bacteria; Pseudomonadati; Bacteroidota; Flavobacteriia; Flavobacteriales; Flavobacteriaceae
Description: bacterial SSU rRNA
Rfam family: Bacterial small subunit ribosomal RNA
Source: RNAcentral